AUUGAACGCUGGCGGCAGGCCUAACACAUGCAAGUCGAACGGCAGCACAGAAGAGCUUGCUCUUUGGGUGGCGAGUGGCGGACGGGUGAGUAAUGUCUGGGAAACUGCCCGAUGGAGGGGGAUAACUACUGGAAACGGUAGCUAAUACCGCAUAACGUCGCAAGACCAAAGUGGGGGACCUUCGGGCCUCACACCAUCGGAUGUGCCCAGAUGGGAUUAGCUAGUAGGUGGGGUAAUGGCUCACCUAGGCGACGAUCCCUAGCUGGUCUGAGAGAAUGACCAGGCACACUGGAACUGAAACACGGUCCAGACCCCUACGGGAGGCAGCAGUGGGGAAUAUUGCACAAUGGGCGCAAGCCUGAUGCAGCCAUGCCGCGUGUAUGAAGAAGGCCUUCGGGUUGUAAGGUACUUUCAGCGGGGAGGAAGGCGGUGAGGUUAAUAACCUCGCCGAUUGACGUUACCCGCAGAAGAAGCACCGGCUAACUCCGUGCCAGCCGCCGCGGUAA
RNAcentral lists this ribosomal RNA (506 nucleotides) under uncultured bacterium. RNAcentral describes it as "partial 16S ribosomal RNA". It matches the Rfam family "Bacterial small subunit ribosomal RNA", at positions 29 to 523 of the family's 1533-position model. The record is from RNAcentral.